Molecule: ribosomal RNA, 1683 nt
Filed under: Shouchella clausii
Lineage: Bacteria; Bacillati; Bacillota; Bacilli; Caryophanales; Bacillaceae
Description: partial 23S ribosomal RNA
Rfam family: Bacterial large subunit ribosomal RNA
Source: RNAcentral
GGAUAAGUUAGAAAGGGCGCACGGUGAAUGCCUUGGCACUAGGAGCCGAUGAAGGACGCGACGAACCGCGAUAGGCUUCGGGGAGCUGUAAGUAAGCUUCGAUCCGGAGAUUUCCGAAUGGGGGAACCCACCAUCCGUAAUGGGAUGGUACUGACAUCUGAACACAUAGGAUGUCGAGAGGCAGACCCGGGGAACUGAAACAUCUAAGUACCCGGAGGAAGAGAAAGCAAAUGCGAUUUCCUGAGUAGCGGCGAGCGAAACGGAAACAGCCCAAACCAAGAGGCUUGCCUCUUGGGGUUGUAGGACACUCAACAACGGAGUGAUCAAGAAACGGAGUAGGUGAACUGUCUGGAAAGGCAGGCCGAAGAAGGUAACAGCCCUGUAGCUGAAACUUCGUUUCCUCCAGAGUGGAUCCUGAGUACGGCGGGACACGUGAAACCCCGUCGGAAUCCGGGAGGACCAUCUCCCAAGGCUAAAUACUCCCUAGUGACCGAUAGUGAACCAGUACCGUGAGGGAAAGGUGAAAAGUACCCCGGAAGGGGAGUGAAAGAGAUCCUGAAACCGUGUGCCUACAACUAGUCAGAGCCCGUUAACGGGUGAUGGCGUGCCUUUUGUAGAAUGAACCGGCGAGUUACGGUAUCGUGCAAGGUUAAGCUGAUGAAGCGGAGCCGCAGCGAAAGCGAGUCUGAAUAGGGCGCAUUAGUACGAUGCCGUAGACCCGAAACCGGGUGAUCUACCCAUGUCCAGGGUGAAGGUCGGGUAACACCGACUGGAGGCCCGAACCCACGCAAGUUGAAAAUUGCGGGGAUGAGGUGUGGGUAGGGGUGAAAUGCCAAUCGAACUCGGAAAUAGCUGGUUCUCCCCGAAAUAGCUUUAGGGCUAGCCUCGAGUGAUGAGUCUUGGAGGUAGAGCACUGAUUGGACGAGGGGUCCCCACAGGAUUACCGAAUUCAGUCAAACUCCGAAUGCCAAUGACUUUAACUCGGGAGUCAGACUGCGAGUGCUAAGAUCCGUAGUCAAGAGGGAAACAGCCCAGACCAUCAGCUAAGGUCCCCAAGUAUACGUUAAGUGGAAAAGGAUGUGGAGUUGCCCAGACAACCAGGAUGUUGGCUUAGAAGCAGCCAUCAUUGAAAGAGUGCGUAAUAGCUCACUGGUCGAGUGACUCUGCGCCGAAAAUGUACCGGGGCUAAACGUAUCACCGAAGCUAUGGCAAUCCCGUAAGGGAUUGGGUAGGGGAGCGUUCCAAGGACAGCGAAGCUAGAUCGUGAGGACUAGUGGAGUGCUUGGAAGUGAGAAUGCCGGUAUGAGUAGCGAAAAGAUAGGUGAGAAUCCUAUCCGUCGAAAGCCCAAGGUUUCCUGAGGAAGGCUCGUCCGCUCAGGGUUAGUCGGGACCUAAGCCGAGGCCGAAAGGCGUAGGCGAUGGACAACAGGUUGAUAUUCCUGUACCACCUCGUAUUCGUUUGAACGAUGGGGGGACGCAGAAAGGUAGGGUGAGCGCGCCGCUGGCUGUGCGCGUCGAAGCAUGCGAGGCUGGAACAUAGGCAAAUCCGUGUUCCAUAAGGCUGAGCUGUGACCGUGAAGGACCUUCGGGUCCGAAAUCCCUGAUCCUCCGCUGCCGAGAAAAGCCUCUAGUGAGAAUACAGGUGCCCGUACCGCAAACCGACACAGGUAGGCGAGAAGAGAA